UGCGCACGUACCAUGGUGCGCCUGACAUAAUCCGGAAAGCCCUGUUUUCUACUGCUUGGAGCCUCGUAGCGGAUGUCUGCCCAAGUGAGGGAGGCGUAGGAGAUCACUUUGUCGUGGAUCGUCUCCUUUAUGGGUCUAUUUAUUUGGUCAGAUUUAAUACCACAGAGGACGUUAGUGGUCGCUUCCUUUACCUACUUGAUCAAGGACAAUGUAGAGAGCAAACAGACGGUUUUAAUAGCAAAAAUAAACUGGAGAUGAUUCUGGAUGUCCAGCUGGACCAGAGCUGCUUGGUGCGGUACUGCAAUCAGACACUGGGAAUUUUGAUGAACUGCUUGGAUUAUCACAAUUUGGGAAACGAAAGCGAGCUGAUCCUGGAAUCCUUGCAAUCCUUCUCGAAACUCCUGAACAGUUUACCAGGGUACAAAUUCCAUCCCUUUUAAGUUACCGCAGCAGUGAGGAUCAAGUUGCUAUUCAGUCAAGAGGAUACACGUCUAAGGAGAUCUUCGAUCCAGUUAUUAGGAGAUCUGGCAACGUCCCUUGGUUAGGAGACCAAUUUAUAGGCAUUCAAGGAGCAGAUCCAAGGGAACCUCAUCACUUUACUGUUGCAUCUAUGCGAUCCAGACGUGUAUGUUGUCAAGGCCUGUAAAAGUACGAUCCAGAAGGUCUGCCCUUAUCUGGAUUGUUUGGAGGUAAACCGCAUGAUCUAGUAGUGUUUGGGCGACGACACCGACGAAAUCCGUGAAUAUCAAACGGAUUUUAUUAAGGAGUAAAUUAAACGCAUGGGAUUUAUGGAAUCAAUGAUAUCAAGGUUAUCUGGGGGUCAAAUCGAGGACGAACUGGUUUAAAGGUCGUGUCUAAGAGCCAAUGCCGCCCUUGUCACCGGUUGUUCUACGUCGAACCACUACCCGAGAAUAAAC
Long non-coding RNA from Anthonomus grandis grandis, 917 nucleotides. RefSeq lists it as uncharacterized. The record is from RefSeq and is a predicted model, not a curated record. The transcript has 4 exons. Lineage: Eukaryota; Metazoa; Arthropoda; Insecta; Coleoptera; Curculionidae.